This 423-nucleotide ribosomal RNA is filed under the name uncultured bacterium. RNAcentral's name for it is "bacterial SSU rRNA". It matches the Rfam family "Bacterial small subunit ribosomal RNA", at positions 376 to 793 of the family's 1533-position model. The record is from RNAcentral.
CGCAAGCCUGAUGCAGCCAUGCCGCGUGUAUGAAGAAGGCCUUCGGGUUGUAAAGUACUUUCAGCAGUGAGGAAGGUGGGUAUGUUAAUAGCAUAUUCAUUUGACGUUAGCUGCAGAAGAAGCACCGGCUAACUCCGUGCCAGCAGCCGCGGUAAUACGGAGGGUGCGAGCGUUAAUCGGAAUUACUGGGCGUAAAGCGCAUGCAGGUGGUUUGUUAAGUCAGAUGUGAAAGCCCGGGGCUCAACCUCGGAAUUGCAUUUGAAACUGGCAAACUAGAGUACUGUAGAGGGGGUAGAAUUUCAGGUGUAGCGGUGAAAUGCGUAGAGAUCUGAAGGAAUACCGGUGGCGAAGGCGGCCCCCUGGACAGAUACUGACACUCAGAUGCGAAAGCGUGGGGAGCAAACAGGAUUAGAUACCCGGUAG